GCGGAUGUGGUGGAAUUGGUAGACACGCUAGAUUUAGGUUCUAGUGCCUUCGGGCGUGGGAGUUCAAGUCUCCCCAUCCGCA
RNAcentral lists this transfer RNA (82 nucleotides) under Halomonas huangheensis. It matches the Rfam family "tRNA". Rfam says of the family: Transfer RNA (tRNA) molecules are approximately 80 nucleotides in length. Their secondary structure includes four short double-helical elements and three loops (D, anti-codon, and T loops). Lineage: Bacteria; Pseudomonadati; Pseudomonadota; Gammaproteobacteria; Oceanospirillales; Halomonadaceae. The record is from Rfam by way of RNAcentral.